UACAGAGGUGGCAAGCGUUGUUCGGAAUUACUGGGCGUAAAGGGCGCGUAGGCGGUUCGUUAAGUCCUGUGUGAAAUCCCCCGGCUCAACUGGGGAACUGCACAGGAAACUAGCGGGCUUGAGUUCGGGAGAGGGAAGCGGAAUUCCGGGUGUAGCGGUGAAAUGCGCAGAUAUCAGGAGGAACACCGGUGGCGAAGGCGGAUCUCUGGGCCUUACCUGACGCUGAGGCGCGAAAGCUAGGGGAGCGAACAGG
This 253-nucleotide ribosomal RNA is filed under the name uncultured bacterium. RNAcentral describes it as "partial 16S ribosomal RNA". It matches the Rfam family "Bacterial small subunit ribosomal RNA", at positions 524 to 776 of the family's 1533-position model. The record is from RNAcentral.